UUGUGGUGUGUUUGGAGGGACGUCGGGAUGCUAGUGUCUUGGUGUGUUUGGAGGGACGUUGGGAUGCUAGUGUCUUGGUGUGUUUGGAGGGACGUCGGGAUGCCUAGUGUCUUGGUGUGUUUGGAGGGACGUCGGGAUGCUAGUGUCUUGGUGUGUUUGGAGGGACGUCGGGAUGCUAGUGUCUUGGUGUGUUUUUGGAGGGACGUCGGGAUGCUAGUGUCUUGGUGUGUUUUUUGGAGGGACGUCGGGAUGCUAGUGUCUUGGUGUGUUUUUUGGAGGGACGUCGGGAUGCUAGUGUCUUGGUGUGUUUUUUGGAGGGACGUCGGGAUGCUAGUGUCUUGGUGUGUUUUUUGGAGGGACGUCGGGAUGCUAGUGUCUUUGUUGCGACUCUUCUCUUGGUUUGUUUUUGUCCCAACCUCUUUGGAUACAGCUGUGAUUCACUCAUUCAUCAGACUUGGCUAGCUUUAAUGAUGUCAUGACCUAGAUUUUUCUGGGACAUAUUUCGGUGCAAUGGAGUGUAAUUUCAGGCGUUUUAAGAAGUAAAAAUUGUUUAAAAAAAUAAAUAAAAAAUGGUCUGUUUUUGAGAGUGAUGUCUCAUUUUGAUAAACUUGUCACUAGAUCCCCCCCCCUCACUGCCAUAUAUUUUUCUUAGUUUAUUUUAACAGGGGUUUUUAUCUUAGUCUUGAUCUUUUUCUUUCUGGCAUUGAGUGUGGUUGGUCCUUGAUAUUUUGGUGUUUGUUGAAGGACAGAGUAAAGUGUCUGAGAUUGCCAUUUGAAAAUGUGGUUUUGCAGUGAUGAGGAACUGAGAGACAUACUAGUGUGUGUGUUCUAGUGUUGGUUCUAGAAUGUUUUCUCGUGUUGGUUCUAGAAUGUGCUGUAGUGUCGGUUCAAGAAUGUGCUCUAGAAUAGGUUCUAGUGUCGGUUCUAGAAUGUGCUCUAGAAUAGGUUCUAGAAUGUGCUCUGGUGUCGGUUCUAGAAUAUGCUCUAGUGUCGGUUCUAGUGUCGGUUCACUGUGUUCCAAUGCGUGAACAGGCGUUUAUGAUGUGUAGUUAAUUUGUCAUCAUUAAAGACAGACGUGAGAGAAAUUCAAAAGAAUCACUGUUUGUUAUUUUUUUUUCCUGAAUGAGUGAGUUUGUACUUACCAGUAAUUGUUGGAUAUUGCUGUGCAUCUUUUGUGGAACUCCUACAGUAUAUGGGUGUUGUUUUUUUUAAAAAUAGGGUGUAUCUAUUCCACAGUAAGUAAGGGUUUGUUUUGAAACACGGCCGUUUGUGUAGAGAUGUAGAUGGUACAGAGACGGUGUGUUGAGGGGUUGAAGAACCCAGAGGAACAGAAUCAGGAUCCACCCCCCAUGCCAUACCUCAAAACCCCUGAUGACACACACACACACACACACACACACCAAUAUAAACCUCUGACACACACACACACACACACACACACAAUAUAAACCUCUGACACACACACACAUCACACAAAUCAAGCUGAUACGUUGAUCCAUCAUGCCUUUUUUUUUUCUUUUUUCAAACAGGUUUUUUUCUUUUAUAGUAUUAUAAAACACGUUUUUAAAAUUGAAAUUGUAAUCAAUGCGAAGAAGAAAAGUUAAACCGAUGUUGUUGAUGUGACGCUCCUUAUCCGUGUAGUGGCAGCUCUGGGGUUGCACAUGGUGCUGUUGUAAGUGUGUGUGUUCGGCUGAGGUGAGAUCUCAUCGACUCUGUUCAACCUGUGAUCUUUAACAACCGCAUCCUCCUUUUGUUGAGAAGACAUACCUCCCAGACAUGUGUAACCCUCUUCCUCUGUUAUUUGAGGGGAAAACAUACAGUCGUCCUCUUACCUUGACAUUCCUGAGUUUCUUUGAUUUUUUUUUUUAGUUCUUGCCCAAACGGUUGUGAACUUGUUUUGUUAUUUUAUUUUAAAGAAAAUGUUACAUAAAAACCUGGAGAGAAUUUUUUUACGGCCUUUCUGUCUUUCAUCUGUAGUUGUGUUAAAUAUUGUCUUGAACUGCAUUCAGACACAGCAGCCGUUUAGCUAAAUUCAACUGAUUUUACAUUCUUAAUAAAGCAUGAAUAAAACAAACAAAAACAGUCCAACCAAUAACUACACAAUUAUUUAUUGGGUUAAAAAUGUUUAAAAAAUGCAUUACACUCAUUUGACCAAAACUUUUAAUAGGAAACCACAACAAGUCCAACCCAUAGUCAUAUUCACAACUCCACAUGUUGAACCCACCCUGUAGGGAGCUCUUCAACGGGCUAGGGAGGCUCCUGCCUGGUCCUGGUCGUACAGCGGAGGGGGUGGAGGGGGGUGUUCUUGGCAGGUUUUGUCUGUCCCAUUCUGUGUCUCAUCCAUCCAUUGGUAGGACUGGCAGACGAGCAGAUUCUAUAGCCGUUAACUCGGACACCAGUGUUUCAGAGCUAAUAGGGGUGGGGGGAUGUUCUUGGUAGGUUCUGUCUGUCCCAUUCUGCGUCUCAUCCAUCCAUUGGUAGGACUGGCAGACGAACUGAUUCGAUUCGUUCCGGUUCCCACAGACCAACCAAUCCGGUGCUGAGUCAGGAAGUCCAAGACUGAAGGAAGGGAGCACUGGUCCUUUUCCAACAUCUCCAGUUCAUCCAUUGGCCAUGAGAGGGCUGUGGUCUUCACUGGAGCGAUUUGGAGAAGGGGCUUGACAGUGCAUCGUGUCAGGGUGGGUUAUCAAAUGUUAUGGGAUGGUAGGUGGUAUAGGGGAGACAUCGAGGAUGGUAGGUGGUAUAGGGGAGACAUUGAGGAUGGGAGGUGCUAUAGGGGAGACAUCGAGGAUGGUAGGUGGUAUAGGGGAGACAUCGAGGAUGGUAGGUGGUAUGGGGAGACGUUGAGGAUGGUGGGUGGUAUAGGGGAGACGUUGAGAAUGGUAGGUGGUAUAGGGAGACGUUGAGGGUGGUAGGUGGUAUAGGGAGACGUUGAGGAUGGUAUAGGGAGACGUUGAGGAUGGUAGGUGGUAUAGGGGAGACGUUGAGGAUGGUAGGUGGGAGACGUCGAGGGUGGUAGGUGGUAUAGGGGAGACGUUGAGGGUGGUAGGUAGUAUAGGGAGACGUUUCAGGGUGGUAGGUAGGUGAGGGUUGGAGUAGUGUAAAUAAAACUGAAUAUUUUAAGAGAUAUUCAAUGGGUUAUGGAGUGGUGGCUCUGUGAGGUAUGAAGACAGAAAAAGAGAGGUUAUGUGUGUUUGAUGCCUGAGAGAGAGAACGGUACAUCUGGUAAGGAGUGGGGUGUGUUAAAAAAAAAAAAAUGGCCGAUUCAGAAGAGACUGAUGUUUCAGCAGUACUGGGACAUGGUCAGGAGAGGAAAUUAGAGAAGCCUGAGACCUAGAGAGAGGGAAGAGGAUAAGGAUGGCUAACUGGUAUGGACUGGUAGGUAGCAGUCUAAUAUGAGGACUGGUAGGUAGCAGUCUAAUGUGAGGACUGGUAGGUAGGUAGCAGUCUAAUGUGAGGACUGGUAGGUAGGUAGCAGUCUAAUGUGAGGACUGGUAGGUAGGUAGCUGUCUAAUGUGAGGACUGGUAGGUAGGUAGCAGUCUAAUGUGAGGACUGGACUGGUAGGUAGCUGGUUAAUGUGAGGACUGGACUGGUAGGUAGCUGUCUAAUGUGAGGACUGGACUGGUAGGUAGCUGUCUAAUGUGAGGACUGGACUGGUAGGUAGCUGUCUAAUGUGAGGACUGGACUGGUAGGUAGCUGUCUAAUGUCAGGACUGGACUGGUAGGUAGCUGUCUAAUGUGAGGACUGGAAGGUAGCAGUGUAAUGUGAGGACUGGAAGGUAGCAGUGUAAUGUGAGGACUGGUAGGUAGUAGUGUAAUGUGAGGACUGGAAGGUAGCAGUGUAAUGUGAGGACUGGAAGGUAGCAGUGUAAUGUGAGGACUGGUAGGUAG
Long non-coding RNA from Oncorhynchus tshawytscha (Chinook salmon), 3891 nucleotides. NCBI's taxonomy places the organism in Eukaryota, Metazoa, Chordata, Actinopteri, Salmoniformes, Salmonidae. The record is from Ensembl.